AAGUUCCUUCCGUAGGGUGAACCUGCGGAAGGAUCAUUA
This 39-nucleotide ribosomal RNA is filed under the name Ascomycota sp. NFML_CH26_CT 17.1. RNAcentral describes it as "partial 18S ribosomal RNA". Lineage: Eukaryota; Fungi; Ascomycota. The record is from RNAcentral.